AUGAUAGUUUCCAGCCCAAAAUCAAUUUUGGGCUGGCAAGGCUUCUACCAGAUGAUCAGACUCAUCUUAUUAGUACCAGAUCUGCUGGAACAUUGUAAGUUAAAUUACUUUCCCACAGGCAUAACCCCUGAUGGAGAUCUAUAUGAUCAUUACUCUUCUACAAUAUUUAUACCGGUAUUGUGUUUUGCCCUACUUACCAUUCUAUCCGCACACAAAAAGUGUUAUGAAUCUACUACAUACAUCUUGUGUAGCCGAAGAGGACUAGUAUAUCUCCACCAUCAUGGUGAUGCUCUCUAG
RNAcentral lists this long non-coding RNA (297 nucleotides) under Prunus dulcis (almond). RNAcentral's name for it is "sRNA ncRNA". The record is from RNAcentral. Lineage: Eukaryota; Viridiplantae; Streptophyta; Magnoliopsida; Rosales; Rosaceae.